Long non-coding RNA from Jaculus jaculus (lesser Egyptian jerboa), 332 nucleotides. RefSeq lists it as uncharacterized. The transcript is spliced from 2 exons. The record is from RefSeq and is a predicted model, not a curated record. NCBI's taxonomy places the organism in Eukaryota, Metazoa, Chordata, Mammalia, Rodentia, Dipodidae.
GUCCGAGACUCAGUCCCCGAGGACGCUUCCCGUCAUGCACCGCUGGCGCCGGGAAGCGCCCCCUCACCCUCAGCCCUCAGCGUGGAGGAUGCUUUUGAGAUGACGCUGAGGAGGACAUCGUGCGGCAGUGGUUUCACGCCCUCUGGGGAAAGCCCAGCCCAGCCGCGGAAGGAAUGUGUCCCGAAGCCACACCGUCAGUUAGUAGCACUGCCGGGACUAGAGAAUCGAACUCGUGCCUUCUGGGCUCACAGGGCCGGAAGCUGCGGCUUCGUAAAUGUUUGUAGAAAGGCCCUACCAUAAGAAUCAGGAGGAAAAAAAAAAAAAAAGAAAAA